AGCCAAUGAGAUGGUCUUUAGUAAACGUAAGAUGGCUGCGCCCUUGAAUGCCGAUGAUUGCUUGUUCUUUCGGUAGGAUUGCAUGAAUAUGUUUCGGUAAUAUGACAGAUACGUAGAUCCCUGCGUUAGGCCGUAUCGAUACUUUGUGGAACUUGUGUGAAACGAAAAUGAUUCUGAAAAACCUAGAAAAAUGGAACGUGCGCGCCUCGAUGGCAUACGCUAUAGGUGUUUGGACAGUGAUUGGCUCGUGCGGAUACUAUAGGUUUUUUCGCAAGGAGAAAGAGGAUAAGCCGCAAAAUACGGAAGACGAAGAACUGCUCGUGGACAAAUUUUCGACAGAAGAGCAGGAGGGGAAACCGAAAGGCUUCCAAUCCCAAACCACAGUCGUUUACAAGGAGAAUUUCGUUCCUUAUUCUACAAGACUUUUCAAUUAUUUGAAAACUCUAAAUGGGGGUCCUGAAAGUACAGUGGAAAGCGACAAGUCUGAAAAGUGAUGUUCAAUGCCAAAAGAAUGCAUUUGUAUUUUUUUUUUGCUUUGCCCAUAAUUAAUUGAAAUUCUAACGACAAAAAGUAUAUUGUGUUUCAAACAGCUGUUUUCAAAAAAAUAUACACGAUGUAAUUUUUAUUAAAAAGAGGUCAUUUGUUCGUGAAGAAUAUUUUUAAUAUAUCUUUUUUUUUUUUUUUUUGCAAAUACAAUAUGGCCUUCCCUCAUAUUAGGUGCAGAAGAACAAGAGCUUCCCUCAUAAUCCAGAAUUUGAAGAAGGAAUCAAUCAAUGCUUAGCAUCUGACCAUCAGUUUAUAACUGAUGGUUGCUUGUUUGAAUCCUGACGUUGAACACUUUCUAUGGUGACUGUACUAUGUUGUACAGUAUGCUAAGUUGCCUAAGUGCUGAAGUGAAAGUUCAUAAUGUGGAAUACGUCAACCAGGAUGUUUGUGUCUUGUACACAAAUUAUGUGAUGAUGCAGAAUGCUAACUACUGAAAUUGGUGUUGUUUCAAAUGCUUGUAAUGUUCAAACUAAAGUUCAUGAGAAUGGUUAUUUCAAGACCAGUCUGGACAAUGUUCACUUCCGGUCUUGGAGCAAAAGAUACAGGCAGCACAAGAAAGGACACUGGUGUCUUUACAUCUUGCUAAAGAGCUACACCAGUCAUGGAGUACCUUGGUAGGAAGAAAAGGAACAACUGGGAUUUGUGGAUACUUUGAGGAGCCCUUUAUCAGUGAAGGGCCCAUAGCCAGAAAUUAUCCACCAAUUGCUGUAGGCUUUGUUGUAGCAUUACCAACAUACUCUGUGAUUGGUGGAGAUCGCCUCUGUGGUUUCUGAUAGUAAAGUGGUAAUGUUACUUCAGGCUUGCACUUUCCACAGCAAUCUUCUGAGAAUUAUCUCACUUUUUCUUGUUUUAUACACUUUUUAGAAGUUUUUUUUUUUGGUUCUUCUUAAAAAUUGCACUGCCCAAAAUGCAGUGGCUGAAAAGUAUGGGAACACAUAUUCCCCUAACUAUAAACUAAACUGUAUAUAAAGUGGAUUUGUGUGUGUGUGUGAGAGAGAGAGAGAGAGAGAGAGAAAUGCUGUACCUGUAUUAGUCAUCCAAGGAUUGCCCAGUGAAAAUGUAAGUUACACAAAAAAUGUACUGGGAUUACACCCCAACCUUAAAUAACCUUGAUGCUCCGGUGCACAUUAACCGGUUUACUGGUAUUUAAACGAUUGCCUGGACUAGAUAGUAAGAUUAUGAAUGUGAAUGUUGCAUAUCUGGUUCUGAUGCAAUACCAUUUUGAUAAGCAAGGGGGCGGUGGUAAAACAACACCGGUAGCCAGAUAACGUCUGGAAAAUCUGAACGUGCUGUUACUGCAGUGGAAGUGAGGAACCGUGAAAUAACACCAUGAAAGCAAUCAUUCAGAGAGUAGCGAAAGCAAGCGUGACAGUGGGAGGGGAGCAGGUCAGUUCCAUUGAAAGAGGCCUGUGUGUUCUGCUGGGCAUUUCUUUGGAGGAUACACAGAAGGAUGUUGACUACAUGGUGCGGAAGAUCCUGAACCUGCGGCUGUUCGAGGACGAGAACGGGCGCGCCUGGAGCCGCAGCGUGAUGGACCGGGGGCUGGAGGUGCUGUGCGUCAGCCAGUUCACCCUGCAGUGCAUCCUCAAGGGCAACAAGCCCGACUUCCACGCCGCCAUGCCCGCCGAGCUGGCGCAGCCCUUCUACUACAGCAUGCUGGAGCACAUGAGGACCGCCUACCAGCCCGAGCUCAUCAAGGAUGGGCAGUUUGGGGCUUAUAUGCAGGUCCACAUACAGAACGAUGGACCCGUCACCGUCGAGCUGGAGUCUCCCACAGGGCCGACGGACCCCAAAAUGCUCUCCAAGCAGGAGAAGCAGCAGCAGAGGAAGGAGAAGACGCGGCCCAAGCCCCCCUCGGAUUCGGCGCGGGAGAAGGCCGCCUCGCGCCCCAAGGUGGACCCCAGCGCCAGCAGCGGGGCGGAGGGGGACGUCUCGUCCGAGAGGGAGCCCUAAUCCCCGAAAACGGGUUGCCAGAGUCCGUGAAUGAGCUCCAGCGCAUCAGGAUUCAGAGAUUUGGCAGAAAGCGCUGUUGCUGAGACUUAACGAACUACCCAGAAUCCCCGGGAGAGUUUAACAUCUUCGGCGACAUCCCCCCCCUCCCCCACCACCCGCCACGAACCUCGCCGUUUCCAGACGUGCCUCCCUCUGGGGGGGGGGGGGGGGAUUGGGCAGCGGGGACGCCACCGCUUUCUCUGUCCGCCAUCGACACCACGGAAACCGACGCCACUCCUGCCACCACCGCCUCUCCGCCCGCUUUGGAAGGACGGGGCGAAAGGCACCGUAUUUCAACCAAAACACUCUGAACGAUGACAGAGAAAGUGCCGGAAACAGACGUCAACAUCUGAGUCCCGGCGAGAUUUAUUCUCAUUGGUCAUCGCUUUACGCGUUGGUUCCCCCGCCCCCUCCCGUCCCCUGUCUUGAGCGUAAUGCGUCUUCACAUCUUUGAUCUGUCGGUCUGUGGGUUUGAACGUAAAGUUGGAUUUGUAUGCAUUUUGUGUCUUUUUUUGGAAAGGAAAAAAAAUACACACAUAUCUGCUGUCUUUUUUUUAGGAGCCCAGCUUUCAGACUGUACUGUUUAUCUUGUUUUGUUUGCAUGAUCUUUGUAAAUAUGAUAUGUGGUGCAUCAUGUCUACUCUCUGUGCUUGUGAGUGCGUGUUUAUGCAUAUAUGUGUGUGUGUGUUUGUGUGUGUGUGUGUUUGUGACCUCUACGCGGUGUUUUGUUCAGUCUUACACUGGCUACGGAGGCAGGACUUGCACAUCAUGGAUGUAUACUGGAAGCCAUUAAAGCAGCUAUAAAUUACAUUUCCA
RNA transcript from Anguilla anguilla (European eel), 3354 nucleotides. It is a transcript of the gene named D-aminoacyl-tRNA deacylase 1, with no coding region annotated. The transcript is spliced from 8 exons. NCBI's taxonomy places the organism in Eukaryota, Metazoa, Chordata, Actinopteri, Anguilliformes, Anguillidae. The record is from RefSeq and is a predicted model, not a curated record.